Molecule: ribosomal RNA, 253 nt
Filed under: uncultured bacterium
Lineage: Bacteria
Description: partial 16S ribosomal RNA
Rfam family: Bacterial small subunit ribosomal RNA
Source: RNAcentral
CGUAGGUGGCGAGCGUUGUCCGGAAUCACUGGGCGUAAAGGGCGCGUAGGCGGCAAUACAAGUCGCAUGUGAAAUUCCAGGGCUCAACCCUGGGGGGUCAUGCGAAACUGUAUGGCUUGAGUGCAGUAGAGGUAAGCGGAAUUCCUGGUGUAGCGGUAAAAUGCGUAGAGAUCAGGAGGAACACCGGUGGCGAAGGCGGCUUACUGGGCUGCAACUGACGCUGAGGCGCGAAAGCGUGGGAGCAAACAGGAUU